AAACCGUGGUUAGGGCAAUCCCUAGUGUACUCCUUGAAACGUUCCAAUGCUUUAAAGAAUGACUUCGUGGCUCCUUCGUUUGAAACUCGAGACU
This is a small nucleolar RNA of Arabis alpina (gray rockcress), 94 nucleotides long. It matches the Rfam family "Plant small nucleolar RNA R71". Rfam says of the family: R71 is a member of the C/D box family of snoRNAs containing the C (UGAUGA) and D (CUGA) box motifs. NCBI's taxonomy places the organism in Eukaryota, Viridiplantae, Streptophyta, Magnoliopsida, Brassicales, Brassicaceae. The record is from Rfam.